UAGGGAAUCUUCCGCAAUGGACGAAAGUCUGACGGAGCAACGCCGCGGGAGUGAAGAAGGAUUUCGGUUCGUAAAACUCUGUUGUUAGGGAAGAAAAAAUGUAUAGUAACUAUAUACAAAAGAGACGGUACCUAACCAGAAAGCCACGGCUAACUACGUGCCGGCAGCCGCGGUAAUACGUAGGUGGCAAGCGUUGUCCGGAAUUAUUGGGCGUAAAGCGCGCGCAGGUGGUUUAGAAAGUCUGAUGUGAAAGCCCACGGCUCAACCGUGGAGGGUCAUUUGAAACUAAUAAACUUGAGUGCAGGAGAGAAAAGUGGAAUUCCUAGUGUAGCGGUGAAAUGCGUAGAGAUUAGGAGGAACACCGGUGGCGAAAGCGGCUUUUUGGCCUGCAACUGACACUGAGGCGCGAAAGCGUGGGGAGCAAACCGG
RNAcentral lists this ribosomal RNA (429 nucleotides) under Verrucomicrobiota bacterium. RNAcentral describes it as "Verrucomicrobia bacterium partial 16S ribosomal RNA". It matches the Rfam family "Bacterial small subunit ribosomal RNA", at positions 355 to 776 of the family's 1533-position model. Lineage: Bacteria; Pseudomonadati; Verrucomicrobiota. The record is from RNAcentral.